UCAAGGUUCAUGCAAGUUUUUUCACAUACGCCAACAUUCUCUUGGUGUUUUCUGACUUCUGCUCACUCAAGUGCCAGGAACACAGGAAAACUGGAAGUAAUAUGCAUAUUCAGUUAUGAAGAGGAAUAGUCUGGCCAUCUAGGAAAUAUUUCACUCUACCUUCCAGCACACACAGAAGUUUAAAAAUAAUGUAAAUGUAAAUACUUGCUCGUGCCAAACACUUCAUUUGCCAAGAAGAAACGGUGCAUUUUGUAUCAGGAUUACAUUAUAACCAAGAUUAAUUUUUGUGUUGUCUCUGGCAAUUCUUUAACAAAAACACCUCCUGAUGAAACACAACGUGUAAGUCACAGGUUUUGUAUGUUCAGGGAAACUUCUCUCAACAGCUGACUUACAAAUGUUCAUACUAAACAAGCUGUACUAUAACCUGCUUUUAAUCUAACUGCCAGAUACUACAGAGGUAAUGUCUUGGGAGAUGGCACCAGGUUUUUGAAGAAGGAGCUACCCAGUGAUAAAGAUCUUACGGAAAACCAGAACUAUUUAACAAAACCAAUAAAUGAACAUACCCCAAAUUCUCUUAGGAGAAGGGAAAUAUCUCACCAUUGCAAUGUAAGGCAACCAUCAUCCAGUAAGAACUCAGGCCAAGCCUCAAGUGGUGCAUCACAGCAUGAAUCAUAAGGUUGUUUGGUGCAAAUGCACAGAUUCACUGAUCAAAAACAUGCCUGCAACUUCUGUAUCCAGGUCUGCUCUCUUGCUUAGCAAAAGAAAUCAACCUCCCUAAAAAAGCAACCAUUUUAUGUAUCUACAUUUGUAUAUGUAGAUUCAUCAAUAUUCAAAAUCAUCCACUAUAAAUUCAAAGAUUAGUUCUGGGAACAAAACAGGCAUCAUCAAAACAGAAACCUAAGAAGAAAUAAAAGGGAAUAGAAGGGACAACUGACAAGUGGUAAAGAAAUAGUGAGAAAAUAUGUGUGAAUAUGUUGGAUCAUUAUCAGAUGGAUCUUCCCUUGCAUCCAAUUUUAGUUACUUUUGAGAAUAGUCAUGUGACUAAAAAUUUGCUCACGGCUGUCAUUCUCAAGACACACUACGUGCAAGAUUCAGCCUGGAAAGCAAACGAGCAGGAGUAUCGUGCACCGUUUGAGUCUUGUUGACUCCUACCAUGGCAAAACUUUUUGAUUAGAAGUAAAUUUCACUGACUUUGAGUAAUGCGUCAGACUCUCCUUCCAACAACCAAAUGAUACUUUUCUGAGUCAAAUGUAGUUUAUAAGGCUUGUCAUUAAGCAUGACUGAGAUGACCAAUCACACCACAUGAACAUGGACUCAUCACCACUAAGCGAUGUCAAAAAAAUAACCACAUCAAGAAAACCAAAAGCUUAAAAUUUGGAACAGCACAGAGACUGAAAAACUUCAGUUUCUACACAAGCAAUUUGUCAAAAGAAAAAACACUAAAUUUGACAAGGAAAUUCUUUUGCUGAAAAGUAAAUGCUCAGUUAUACGAUUACAUUGCUGGUGUUCCCCUGCUCCUCUUCUUCCUCCUGAGUUUCUAUCUAGGAAAUAUUUCCAGAACUUGCUGGUUCAGUUACCUCUUUCAGUCUUGGCAUUCAGAGGUUCCAGCAACAAAGCCUUGUUAUUAUAAAUACUUCAGCUAUAACAUUUCUAAGGAAAUUAGACAGAGUAUCAUAAUCUCCUGCUGACUCUCACCUAGCAAUUUUAAAUUCUCUAGUGUGGGAGAAGACUCCGAGGUCAAAACACUAAUUUUAUUAUUUCAUUAAAAGCAAAAGAGGAAAAUUAGGAUAAAAAUUUCAAAGCCUGGGAAGUCAGGUAACAGCAAGACGAGAGAGGAUGAAAACCAGCACUGCAUCGAUGACUCUGGAAAAUCCCAAGUCAAAGUACAUCACAAAUUUUAUUUUGGUACAACACAAUGAUAAACAGUACACUUGGAUUGCACAGACUUUUAAAAAAAGUUUUUUUAACCUUUCUCAUUUAUUCUUAUACUUGAAUAACAGCCCAUUCCUGAGUUUGCAGUCAUGCAAAUUCUCCUCACUCGCACGUAAAGUUACAUUGGCUUCCAGAAGAUUAUUUCUCUGAGUACAGACAUCAACCCUGAACAUUACCUUCUGGCCUUCAAACUUGUCAUGUAAUAUCUAGUAUUUAGAUAUUAGCUACUAUCUAGAAAUUAGCAGUUUUCACGUAACCAAAGUAUUUCAUUGCCUCGCAGAAGUAUAUGCAAUGAAUCAGGGGUAGCAUGAGAGAUGCUCUGUCACUCUCUCUUGCACUCAGCAUUACUUUACAGAAUAAUAUAGUAUCAAAGAUAAUAUCCAGCCUCUGGAACAAGCAAAUCACAGACUAACUAAUACAGAACAUUAAAGCCAAAAGUAAUUUUCCCUGCCCCCCUCGAGAACUGUAACCAACACUAUAGAAAAGGCUGAAUGAAAUCUUGCUGAGUCCUGUGUGGAGCCCAGUUGCAAGCCAAAAGUGAUGUAAGAUUUGCCUGGAGUUUGAACCGAGCCCUCUGCAUUCUUCUGAGAGCUCACCAUUAAAAGAAGAAUAAAUGUUAGCAAUAAAAAGUCCAAGAGAAUGAACAUCUGAAAGCCUAGUCUAAAGAUCUGCAAGGGACCUCAUAAAUACAUAGUAAACAUCCUCACUGAUGGAUUCCCCAGAGGAGAAAAAUUCUACAUUACCCACAUAGCACAUUUUUUGCAAACCAUUUCUUUCUGUCUGGAUACAAAGAAGUGAAGCAGAGCAUUUAACAUAUAACUGGUAAAAUUCAAAGUUUAAAGCCAAGGAAAACAUCCAAGAUUAGAGCUGCUCAACAAAAUCAUCUUUCUCUUCACAUAGUUUUCUUUUUAUUCUUAUAAUUUGUUGAUGAAUCAGCAAAUGAGACUCUUAACUGUCGGUACUGUUAGAUAUCAUGACUUUGGGUGCACAAAGAGAAAUUAAACAGUAUGGGCUUGAAUCACAUCAACACUACAGGCAACUGCUGUGGGUUUUGCCACCCAAUGUGUUGGUAAGGGAUUAGGGUGUUUGCUGUCGAUUCAUACUCUGGUGCCCUAAGCUUUGAAGAAUGUAGUAGGUCCUGGCAAUUUUUGUUGGCUCAGGUCCCUCAUACAUGGGCCGUAUGUGACCAAGAGUAGCUUCUCAUGAAGAACACAGCAGAAAGUCGAGCGUGCUCUGCCACAAAGCCCCUGGGAAGAGGGGUUUGUUGGCACAUCCCUACCUUCAAGCAAGCAGCUAGCAGGGGUGCAACUUAAUAGUUAUUCAGCUCCAGGCAAAAACGGCAUAGGUCUCUUCUAAGGCAGACU
This is a long non-coding RNA of Haliaeetus leucocephalus (bald eagle), 3296 nucleotides long. RefSeq lists it as uncharacterized. NCBI's taxonomy places the organism in Eukaryota, Metazoa, Chordata, Aves, Accipitriformes, Accipitridae. The record is from RefSeq and is a predicted model, not a curated record. The transcript is spliced from 2 exons.